GACGAACGCUGGCGGCGUGCUUAACACAUGCAAGUCGAACGGAAAGGCCCUGCUUUUGUGGGGUGCUCGAGUUGCGAACGGGUGAGUAACACGUGAGUAACCUGCCCUUGACUUUGGGAUAACUUCAGGAAACUGGGGCUAAUACCGGAUAGGAGCUCCUGCUGCAUGGUGGGGGUUGGAAAGUUUCGGCGGUUGGGGAUGGACUCGCGGCUUAUCAGCUUGUUGGUGGGGUAGUGGCUUACCAAGGCUUUGACGGGUAGCCGGCCUGAGAGGGUGACCGGCCACAUUGGGACUGAGAUACGGCCCAGACUCCUACGGGAGGCAGCAGUGGGGAAUAUUGCACAAUGGGCGGAAGCCUGAUGCAGCAACGCCGCGUGCGGGAUGACGGCCUUCGGGUUGUAAACCGCUGUCGCCUGUGACGAAGCGUGAGUGACGGUAAUGGGUAAAGAAGCACCGGCUAACUACGUG
Molecule: ribosomal RNA, 468 nt
Filed under: uncultured bacterium
Lineage: Bacteria
Description: partial 16S ribosomal RNA
Rfam family: Bacterial small subunit ribosomal RNA
Source: RNAcentral